UGUUCAAUGGGGUGAUCUGUGCAAUGGAGUGAUGUGUACAAUGGGACAAUCUGUGCAAUGGGACGAUCGGUACAAUGAGGUGAUCUGUACAAUGGGGUGAUCUGUGCAAUGAGGUGAUCUGUACAACGAGGUGAUCUGUACAAUGGGGUGGUCUGUACAAUGGCUGAUGUGUACAAUGAAGUGACGUGUACAAUGUGGCUCAAGCCGUCUGUGUAAUUAUCUUAAACUUUUUCAUUUCGGAAAUGAAACAGCUCCUCCCUUCACCGCCACCUUGGCUAUUUCUGGGACCAAAGGAAUCCUUGAAGCUGACCGGGCAGGAGAGUCCACGCUGGGAGUAAAAUCACUACAAACUGUCCAUCAGAAGGCCCCUGCUGAGUAGUUGGCAGGGUGGCUGCACAUAAUGGAAAGCACAUAAGCUUGAAGCCAGACAGAUGGGAGUUCUAACCCCAGCCCUGCCACUUAUUCCCAGGUGACACUGAGUGGAAAUUAGGCCAAAAUAAAUACUACUUUCUGCUUAAAAAAAUGCAGUGAUGUCCAAAGAGAAGGGAGGAGGAAGGAUGAAAGGAAAGACAGAGGAGGAAGGAAGAGAAGAAAGAAGAGUGGCCGGCACAAGGGCUUGGAGAUCCCUGAAGCUGUUUUCCUUUCUCCUCACCCCCACAGGGAGGGAUCCACAUCGUUGUGGGGUUUUUGUUGUUGUUGUUUUUGUUUUUGUUUUUUUGCCUCCCUUCAUCAAAGCAUUCAUUGUAGUGUAUGGUAAUUGUCUCUGAAUGUAACAGCCUCUCUUCCCUGAGGCCUGGGUCUGCUUGUUUCAUACCAUCUUCUCCUUAACACACAGUGCUUGGUAAACAAUACCUAUUAAUAAACAUUUGUUGAAUGAA
This is a non-coding RNA of Homo sapiens (human), 878 nucleotides long. Lineage: Eukaryota; Metazoa; Chordata; Mammalia; Primates; Hominidae. The record is from RefSeq and is a predicted model, not a curated record.